Molecule: ribosomal RNA, 255 nt
Filed under: uncultured bacterium
Lineage: Bacteria
Description: partial 16S ribosomal RNA
Rfam family: Bacterial small subunit ribosomal RNA
Source: RNAcentral
UACGGGGGGAGCAAGCGUUGUUCGGAUUUACUGGGCGUAAAGGGCGCGUAGGCGGUCGUGACAAGUCACUUGUGAAAUCUCCGGGCUUAACUCGGAACGAUCAAGUGAUACUGUCGGACUAGAGUACAGAAGGGGCAACUGGAAUUCUCGGUGUAGCGGUGAAAUGCGUAGAUAUCGAGAGGAACACCUGCGGCGAAGGCGGGUUGCUGGGCUGAUACUGACGCUGAGGCGCGAAAAGCCAGGGGAGCGAACGGG